GAGUUUGAUCGUGGCUCAGGAUGAACGCUGGCGGCGUGCCUAAUACAUGCAAGUAGAACGCUGAAGGAGGGAGCUUGCUUCUUCCGGAUGAGUUGCGAACGGGUGAGUAACGCGUAGGUAACCUGCCUCAUAGCGGGGGAUAACUAUUGGAAACGAUAGCUAAUACCGCAUAACAGUAUUUACCGCAUGGUAGAUGCUUGAAAGGAGCAACUGCUUCACUAUGAGAUGGACCUGCGUUGUAUUAGCUAGUUGGU
This 254-nucleotide ribosomal RNA is filed under the name uncultured bacterium. RNAcentral's name for it is "partial 16S ribosomal RNA". It matches the Rfam family "Bacterial small subunit ribosomal RNA", at positions 9 to 253 of the family's 1533-position model. The record is from RNAcentral.